This is a long non-coding RNA of Camelina sativa (false flax), 350 nucleotides long. RefSeq lists it as uncharacterized. NCBI's taxonomy places the organism in Eukaryota, Viridiplantae, Streptophyta, Magnoliopsida, Brassicales, Brassicaceae. The record is from RefSeq and is a predicted model, not a curated record.
UGUAUAUAAAUAAACUCGUAUAUAUCAUUUAUCUUCAUACAUAUCUUCAACUGAGUAAUGGAUACCAAACUCUUGUAUUUUGUUCUGAUGGCUGUGUUUCUAUUGCUCAGUGUUUCCAAAAUCUGGUGGGAAACUGCUCAUGAUAAACCGCCAGUUCUCACGACAAAAGAGUGGCUCGAUAUACUCUUCGAAACAAAAACUGCGUUUCUUCGCAUCGGAUUUCACGAAGAUCAAGAGUAUUUUAGAUCUUAUUUUGUGCUUUAGACUAUAUUACACCAAGUGUACACAUGUAUUAUAGUUUUCUCAACGGCUAAAUUAUUUAAUAAGAGAAAAAACUAUAUGUAAUCAAA